Non-coding RNA from Chrysemys picta bellii (western painted turtle), 1322 nucleotides. NCBI's taxonomy places the organism in Eukaryota, Metazoa, Chordata, Testudines, Emydidae. The record is from RefSeq and is a predicted model, not a curated record.
AUAGUCAAUAAACUUGUUUAACUUUACCAGUGAGUUUUCCUGAAGUGAAUGGUAAAUUGCUCCGGUAUCAAAAGCUGGUGUAUAUCCACUUUCCAUUGAUGAAGUAGUGAACCAAUUAAUAAAUUUAGAUGGUAUAUUCCUAAAUUACAGUGUUGGGAGCUGGGGUGAUUUGGCUGUGGUGCCUCUCUCUGUGUGAUUCAUGAGUGGCUCUGGGAGCAUUCAUGCAGUCUAGCUGGGUGUGGAGGCUCCACAUGUGGUUGUGCUGAGUGAUCACAGCAUGUGGAGGGGUUCCUGCUGGUCACUAGCAAGGCAUUGUGAGAGACAGCCCAGGCUGGAGAGAGUUCAGGGGGGCACAGUGGUCCCACAGUCCCAGGCUACACCCCGGGGCGGGGGGGCUGUCCCAUCACAGCUCCAUCUGUGGGGAGGGCUCUGGAGGUUUACACAGAGACAGGGGGUUAACACUAGAGCUGUGUGUGCUUCAGCAAGUCCCCCAGAGCACACAGAUCCUGAACACUCCUAGUGAGGGUGUGACAACUUGCCCUCCCCCAGACAUUGGUCUCUCCCAAGGGGGCUCAGUGACCAUGUUUCCAUCUGUUCAGACCCCCACAACCCCCAAAAAAAUCAUGGGCUCAGUUUAAACUCAAUGUGUGUCCUUUGUGACAAAUACUCCACUGAUCCUCAGUGCACUCAUAUCAUGCCUGAUUUCACCCCCGAGGAGGACUCCCCAUUCCCAAACCUGACCUGAUCGCCCAGCUGGAAGCAGGGGAAGAGCCAUGGGUCCCGGAUCUCCAGGUCUCUGAGGAAAAGAAGAUCCCAAGAGGCACCCACCCAGCAGGUGAUGAGACAAUGAGUGAGAAUGAGGAGGGAGAUCUACAGCAGGAAGGACUUGAGCAAAUGGAACUCCAGGGGACCUUCUUGAGAAAAGCUGGAGAGAAGUUCUCCCAGUGCUUGGAACAGAGAAAAGCCUGGAGUAAUUGGCACAGGUCAGAAAGGAAACAGGGAAAAUGUCAAAGGAAGAAAAUGGAGGAAUCCAUUGAAUGUGGGAGAGGAGGCAAGGAUCCCAAGGAAUCCGCAGCCCAGCAGACAAAUCAGAAGGAGAAGAAACCAUAUACAUGCUUGGACUGUGGGAAAAGCUUCAGUCAGUGCUCAGGCCUUAUUUGUCACAGGAGAAUCCACACAGGAGAGAGGCCAUAUAAAUGCCUUCAGUGUGGGAAAAGUUUCAAUGCACCAUCAGUCCUUCUUGUACAUCAGCGAACCCACACAGGAGAGAAACCCUUUAAAUGCUUGGACUGUGGGAAAAACUUCAGUCAGCACUCAGGACU